UCUGUAUUAUCUGUGGCGCGCAAUUUUUCGCGCUCAUUUGUGCGUGUUUUGACUUGAACGGUCGCUUCCGGAUGCUUGUUUAUUUCGUUGUCGCAAUGCCCCCAUACCCCAUCGGUCACAGAUCUGAAGAAACUGGCGCCUAAGGGCUGCCAGUCGAAGAAAAAAUUCCAGCUACGAUGGACGUGGAAGCAGGGAGCUCGGUGAAAAAAGAGCCCCUCUACAUCGAGUCGCAUGCUGUGUAUUUUCCGCAUACACCGUACCAAUCCCAAAAGAUGGUCAUCAUAAAGGUCCUACAGGGCUUGAGGAAUGGAAGGAAUUGUCUCAUCGAGUCGCCCACGGGGAGCGGGAAGACCCUUGCCCUGCUUUGCUCGUGCCUGGCUUGGCAAAAGAAAAAGAAAGAAGUUCAUCAAGCGCAGGUGGAAAAGAUGAUGCAGGCAAUGCAAGGCA
Long non-coding RNA from Rhipicephalus sanguineus (brown dog tick), 447 nucleotides. RefSeq lists it as uncharacterized. The transcript is spliced from 4 exons. NCBI's taxonomy places the organism in Eukaryota, Metazoa, Arthropoda, Arachnida, Ixodida, Ixodidae. The record is from RefSeq and is a predicted model, not a curated record.